Molecule: long non-coding RNA, 798 nt
Organism: Lolium perenne
Lineage: Eukaryota; Viridiplantae; Streptophyta; Magnoliopsida; Poales; Poaceae
Source: RefSeq, a predicted model, not a curated record
GCGUGUGACGCCCUGGCCCAUCUCGCUCCACCCCGCCGGCCAGCCUUUCUCCCCGUCCACCGCGACGCGGCCGCACCUCCACCCCACGGUGACGCCGCCCCUGCACUUCCACCCCACCCCACCGCGACGCCGCCACCCUCCAUCUCACCCCCAUCGCGACGCCGCCAUCGGCCCAGCACCUGCACCUCCACCCUUCGUCCUCUAUUUCUAGUUUAGAGGAUCUCCCUAAAAGAAAGGUUUAUAGAGGAUCGUAUAGACGUGCUACUAGAGAUGCUAUACAGCAAGCACCGCAGAGAUCGCGUGCCCGAUCCAGGCGAGAGUGCUGCGCUUGACAGUUCACGCCACGUAUGGCGAGCAACCACAUGGCUUUCGAACCCUCUGGAGUGGUAAAGUGAAGCUGCGCUGAAGCGAUGCAGUUCGAGCAAAUCAACGACAAGGACUACCAGUACCAGCAUAUGGGCCACCGAAAUAGCCAAUCCUGUAAAUGCUGGACACAAAUACUUGAUACUUGCUUAAACAGUUUUUCUUCUGUUGAAAUCUGGUCAAAGAAAUUAACGUUUGAAAUUCUCUGAACUGGAGGGAUUCGCCUCCCUGUUUGUGAGUUAAAAUACCUAAACCACAGUGGAUGUUAAGAAAGGGACUUGGUGUUGUUCUUAGAAACAUUGAGCAUUGAGUCACAUUCUGAAAACUUCGGAAAGUUGACAUUGUGUAUUGGCCUCUCGGCUCAUGAGUUAUUUUUCUCUGAUAUACCUUCUCAGAGUAUUGUUGUAAUAUAAAUCUCUCUAUCCUCUGUCACAA